This is a long non-coding RNA of Phyllopteryx taeniolatus (common seadragon), 890 nucleotides long. RefSeq lists it as uncharacterized. The record is from RefSeq and is a predicted model, not a curated record. The transcript is spliced from 3 exons. Lineage: Eukaryota; Metazoa; Chordata; Actinopteri; Syngnathiformes; Syngnathidae.
AGAAAUCCUUCUUUGUGAUACCGGCAGUAACUGUAAUCACAGUAACAGACGAAGGUUAUUUCGAGAGAUGAUCCACGAUUAAAACUAUAUGUCCAGUAGUUUGACAUUCUACUGACCGUGAAUCAGCCAUCUCACGUCAGCGUGUGGGAUUUCUGAUCCACGGGAGCCAUGGCAGUGGCGGUUGUGAAUGUGGACACCCGUCUCCUCAUGCCAGUCACACGGGGUGCACCUGCCGGCUCCUCGUUUCGCUGUCCGGCUGCCACGGCGGCAAUGGUGGCCACGUCGCCAGCACUCGGGCCCCCGCAGGAGCCUGAGCAACUACUUCAUUCUUUUGUCCCGUUGUGGCCGCAUAACUUGACCCAGCAUGGGCAGUUUACUUUGAAGGAUUGUUUUCAGCUUCCUCCGUUCCAGAGCAUGUGGGUCAGCGACGUGGUCGCCAUUUUCAGCGACAUUGUGUGGGCGUAAAGAAUUGCUUAAGCUGACUGACCAUAAAUUUCAACAAGCGAAGCCACACAUACUGUACGUCUUACUGUAAUCAGCACCACCUCGGCCACACACUUGUUGUCAAUCAGCCUUCAUCACUUGCAUUUAAGCCUGCCAGAUCCAAGACUCCACUGCCAGAGUAUUAACGUUCACCUGUGUGCUCCUUCCGUGUUCCCUGCCUUGCUGACCUCUUACACGACCCCGCCAAGCCGUCCAGCCUGCUCACACUACCGCCUGUCGUACGCUCCCUGUCUCAAUGACCCGCAAGUAUGCCUCAAGGAUCCACCUCUGACUUCCUUCACAAUAAACCAUUCUCCACAAAUUUCUUCAACCUCCUCCUGCUUCUGGGUCCAGUUUAAUAUAAUUAAUACCAUCGCAUCGUGACAAAAUACUCUGGCCCCCAUGGA